GUGCUCACUUUGGCAACACAUAUUGCAAAACUGGAAUGAUCAGAGAUUAGCAUGGCCCCAUACAAGGAUGAUAUGCAAAUUCAUGAAGCAUUCCAGGUUUUU
Small nuclear RNA from Lepus europaeus (European hare), 102 nucleotides. Lineage: Eukaryota; Metazoa; Chordata; Mammalia; Lagomorpha; Leporidae. The record is from RefSeq and is a predicted model, not a curated record.